This 83-nucleotide transfer RNA is filed under the name Actinomycetota bacterium. Its description in RNAcentral is "tRNA-Leu". It matches the Rfam family "tRNA". Rfam says of the family: Transfer RNA (tRNA) molecules are approximately 80 nucleotides in length. Their secondary structure includes four short double-helical elements and three loops (D, anti-codon, and T loops). Lineage: Bacteria; Bacillati; Actinomycetota. The record is from RNAcentral.
GCCCCGGUGGCGCAACUGGCGACGCGGCGGAUUCAAGAUCCGCUGUCCGAAAGGACUUGUGGGUUCGAAUCCCACCCGGGGCA